RNAcentral lists this long non-coding RNA (358 nucleotides) under Ananas comosus (pineapple). Its description in RNAcentral is "long non-coding RNA (ACOM_LNC012926)". The record is from RNAcentral. Lineage: Eukaryota; Viridiplantae; Streptophyta; Magnoliopsida; Poales; Bromeliaceae.
UUUAAAAUUUGAGAUUUGAAAUUUAAAUUUAAAAUUUAAAACUUAAAGUUAAAAUCUAAAUUUUAAAUUUUAGAUUUGAAAAGUUGAAAUUUAAAAAUUCAAAUAUGAAUUUAAAAUUUAAAAAUUAGAAUUAAAUUUGAAUAUAAACUUUGAAUCUAAAAUUAAAAUAAAAAUUUAAAGUUUGAGUCUAAAAUCAAAAUCAGAUUUCAAGAAGCAGCUUUUUUCUGUUUCUGAUUCUGAAACCUUCAAACUCAGUUUUCUAAUUUUAAAAAACAGAAUCAAAUUUUUCAGCACUUGUUGUCAAACACUCUACUGAGCCCAAAAUUACUUUUGAGCUUAGAAUAACUUUUCAAAAGUA